ACAAUAUUGGUACCGUCGGUCUGCCGAGUAAUAUCACCCGCUCGGUGGGAGAUCUUCUUUUGUUAA
RNAcentral lists this microRNA precursor (66 nucleotides) under Bombyx mori (domestic silkworm). Its description in RNAcentral is "mir-2774 microRNA precursor family". It matches the Rfam family "mir-2774 microRNA precursor family". The record is from Rfam by way of RNAcentral. Lineage: Eukaryota; Metazoa; Arthropoda; Insecta; Lepidoptera; Bombycidae.